CGCCAACGGCGGUAACACAGUUGGUGAUUAAGCAGAAUUCAGCAGACGGCAUAGUAGCCAAACGCUCAUCGUAAUGGUCGAGACAGAGUGAAGGCC
This is a non-coding RNA of Chromatiales bacterium (ex Bugula neritina AB1), 96 nucleotides long. NCBI's taxonomy places the organism in Bacteria, Pseudomonadati, Pseudomonadota, Gammaproteobacteria, Chromatiales. The record is from Rfam.